RNAcentral lists this ribosomal RNA (506 nucleotides) under uncultured Pseudomonadota bacterium. RNAcentral's name for it is "bacterial SSU rRNA". It matches the Rfam family "Bacterial small subunit ribosomal RNA", at positions 394 to 896 of the family's 1533-position model. The record is from RNAcentral. Lineage: Bacteria; Pseudomonadati; Pseudomonadota.
CGACCGCGUGUGUGAUGAAGGUCUUCGGAUCGUAAAGCACUUUCGACCGGGACGAACAAGCAUGGCCACACCAUGCCCUGACGGUACCGGGAGAAGAAGCACCGGCUAACUCUGUGCCAGCAGCCGCGGUAAUACAGAGGGUGCAAGCGUUGUUCGGAAUUAUUGGGCGUAAAGCGCGUGUAGGCGGCUUAGCAAGUCGGGCGUGAAAGCCCUCGGCUCAACCGAGGAAGUGCACCCGAAACUGCUGAGCUUGAGUGCCGGAGAGGAUGGCGGAAUUCCCCAAGUAGAGGUGAAAUUCGUAGAUAUGGGGAGGAACACCGGUGGCGAAGGCGGCCAUCUGGACGGUAACUGACGCUGAGACGCGAAAGCGUGGGGAGCAAACAGGAUUAGAUACCCUGGUAGUCCACGCCGUAAACGAUGAGAACUAGAUGUCGCGGGUGUUGACCCCUGCGGUGUCGCAGCUAACGCAUUAAGUUCUCCGCCUGGGAAGUACGGUCGCAAGAUUA